Molecule: ribosomal RNA, 252 nt
Filed under: uncultured bacterium
Lineage: Bacteria
Description: partial 16S ribosomal RNA
Rfam family: Bacterial small subunit ribosomal RNA
Source: RNAcentral
UACGUAGGUCCCGAGCGUUGUCCGGAUUUAUUGGGCGUAAAGCGAGCGCAGGUGGUUUAUUAAGUCUGGUGUAAAAGGCAGUGGCUCAACCAUUGUACGCAUUGGAAACUGGUAGACUUGAGUGCAGGAGAGGAGAGUGGAAUUCCAUGUGUAGCGGUGAAAUGCGUAGAUAUAUGGAGGAACACCGGUGGCGAAAGCGGCUCUCUGGCCUGUAACUGACACUGAGGCUCGAAAGCGUGGGGAGCAAACAGG